GGAUGAGAUGAGCGAAAGCCUGACGCAGCCAUGCCGCGUGUAUGAUGAAGGUCUUAGGAUUGUAAAAUACUUUCACUGGUGAAGAUAAUGACUGUAGCCGGAGAAGAAGCCCCGGCUAACUUCGUGCCAGCAGCCGCGGUAAUACGAAGGGGCGUAGCGUUGCUCGGAAUUACUGGGCGUAAAGGGAGCGUAGGCGGACAUUUAAGUCAGAGGUGAAAUCCCGGAGCUUAACUUCGGAACUGCCUUUGAU
This 250-nucleotide ribosomal RNA is filed under the name uncultured bacterium. RNAcentral describes it as "partial 16S ribosomal RNA". It matches the Rfam family "Bacterial small subunit ribosomal RNA", at positions 359 to 631 of the family's 1533-position model. The record is from RNAcentral.